CUCGAUUUAUCUAUUUAUUUUAGGGUUUAAAAACAAAUUUAAUAAAUCAUAAAAAAAGGAAAAACAAGGACGACAAAAAAAAAACAAGCUCGUCUUCUCCAUCGUGAAAAUCCCUUCAUCUUCUUCCUCCUCUUCUGAAUCCAUCAACAAAAAUGUAUAAAAUUUGUUGUUGCUCCAAUCCCAUCACUUAUUCCCUCGCCAGAGCUUUUGUUUCUCAGUUUUGGGUUUUCUAGGCAGUUUUACUCUCGAAAUUUUCUUUUUCUAUUUCUCCUUUUCUCUUUUGGAUUUUCCCAAUGUCAAAGACUUUUUAGCUGCAACUAUUUAACAUCUCAGAAUUAAGGUUCCAAUUUUUGUUAUCCUCGCCAUCCACAACACACAGGGAGGCAGAUUUUAAAAAUUGAUGUUCCUCUUUGAAUUUUAGAUCAAGGAUGGAGAAUAUUUCGAUGGUCAGAUCCAGUUCUUCGGCGAUAUUUAAAUCUAGGAAAUCAAUCAUUG
Molecule: long non-coding RNA, 495 nt
Filed under: Eutrema salsugineum
Lineage: Eukaryota; Viridiplantae; Streptophyta; Magnoliopsida; Brassicales; Brassicaceae
Description: long non-coding RNA (ESAL_LNC000820)
Source: RNAcentral